Priapulus caudatus is the source of this 311-nucleotide long non-coding RNA. RefSeq lists it as uncharacterized. NCBI's taxonomy places the organism in Eukaryota, Metazoa, Priapulida, Priapulimorpha, Priapulimorphida, Priapulidae. The transcript is spliced from 3 exons. The record is from RefSeq and is a predicted model, not a curated record.
CUCGACACGUCGCAAGGUUGAGCACACGUCAGUGAGGUCUUUCUCUUGCCAUCGCACAUCAACCGCCGGAUUUUUUUCCGUGUAUGCCGCGGCGCGUGUAUUUUCGCCUCUGUGACAUAUUGCUAAAGAUCAGUUGAUACCAUCGGUCGCAGGUGCUGGUCGGUGGUAGAGAGAGAGUCUCUGAAGGACUAAGCUACGAGGAACCAGAACAAGAGAACGUUGCGUGUAAAGACAAAGAAGAUGAAUAUACCGACAGCAUUCCUCUGGUUACUACUGAUGCGGGUAUGCGUAGCGACUGAUAACAAUCGAAU